Molecule: long non-coding RNA, 6074 nt
Filed under: Arabidopsis lyrata
Lineage: Eukaryota; Viridiplantae; Streptophyta; Magnoliopsida; Brassicales; Brassicaceae
Description: long non-coding RNA (ALYR_LNC002292)
Source: RNAcentral
GUCAAUUCAGCCACAUUUGUAACAUCCCCGGAAAGACCUGAUCACAUCAUACUUAUCACGGGGGUUAGUUUUGCUCAAAUCAAUAUUACUUACUUUUCUCAUUGCUAUCUAAUGUUAUUUGGCCCUGCUGUGUUGAGUUUACAUUUCACAAUUGUAGCUUUUGUUUCUGCUAAGUUGCUAACACAUACAGUGUUGGCAAUGUUCUUCUUGUAGGGUCCUCUAAAUCGAGAAAUGAAAAUUUGGGUCUCAGCUGGGGAAGAAGGGUGGCUUCUACCAGCUGAUACUGAAUCAUGGAGGUGUACCCAGACACUUGAUUUGAAAAGUUCAUCUGAGCCACGAGCUGAAAAGGCAUUUUUCAACCAAGUUAUAGUAUUGCCUGAAGCAGGCCUGCUUUUACUUGCAAAUGCGAGAAGGAACGCCAUAUAUUCCGUGCAUUUGGACUAUGGCGCUUCUCCAGUUGAUACGCGGAUGGAUUACCUGUCAGAGUUUACAGUGACUAUGCCUAUAUUGAGUUUUAUUGGGACAAAUGAUCAUCCAGAAGAACCAAUUGUUAAGGUUUAUUGUGUUCAGACUCUAGCAAUCCAGCAGUAUACAGUAGACUUAUGCUUGUGCAUGCCACCUCCUAGAGAGAAUGUGGGUUUUGAGAAGUCAGAUUCUAGUGUGUCACGGGAGGCAAACCUUGUUGAAAGCACGUCAGAACCACCUGGAAUUAAGCCUACCGAAUUACCUUCAGCUGAUUCAGUGCCUAAACCAUCUAUUUUAGUGAAUAGAUCGGAAAGUGCUGAUACACUGAGUUUUCCAGCGGGUUCUGCAUCAGCAGAGGUCACACCACCAGCAAUUGUUCCACCCAACAGUGAUCCUAAAACUUCUGGGAUGCCUUCUGAGACCAGUGAUACAGGUUCUGCGUAUGCUCCUUCACCUCAACUUUCUCUAAGUCCCAGACUAUCAAGUAAACUUUCUGGCUAUCACACUCCUGUAGAAGCAAUUGAGCAAGUACUACCACGUCAUGAGCUUGGUGGGAAAACAAGUUCUGCUGAUUAUUCUUAUGAUAGGCAAAUUGAUGAUGUUGGAGAAAGAAAUUUGGAUGUGUCUUCUGUUGAGGAAAACUGUAGAAGAAAGGACACGAAUGUUACACCUGAUGAUGAUUUGUCUGGGAUUCGAAGCCCGUCAGCUUUUUUCAAACACCCCACUCAUCUCGUAACUCCUUCAGAGAUAUUGAUGGGCGUUUCGUCCACUGAAGCCUCCAUUGCUACUGAAGACAAGAGAGAUAGAGAUGCAAAUAUUCAGGAUGUGAAUAAUGAUGCAAGAGGCUUAGAAGUUGAGGUGAAAGAAGUAGGCGAAGCACGGACUUCACAGAAUGGUGAAAUCAACUAUCAUGAAACAACUGAGAAUCACACUUCAGAAAGUAGAGAAAAUAUCUUCUGCUCACAGGCUUCAAAUCUCAGCACUGAGAUGGCAAGAGACCGUCAUCCUAUUACAGAGGACACUGUCAUUCCAGGGGACUCUAUGACUUAUGUACAACCUUUUCAAUCUGGGGAUGAAAGGGGUCUUGACUCAAGAGAUGUGUCUGCAAAGCUUCCUGAGUCGGGUUCAUCUAGUGGGCCUCUACAGUCGCCAGCUACGACUAGCAAAGGGAAGAAGCAGAAGGCCAAAAAUUCACAGGGCCCCGGUUUGUCAUCUACAUCCUCAAAUGUUGCUAAUCUGGCUGACUCCUUCAAUGAUCGAAGUCAUCCCAUGACAGAUUCACUUGCUCAGUUGUUAGCAAUGCAAGAAACAAUGAAUCAGGUGACAAAUUUAUCUUGAAUCUAUUAAAACUUUCUCUCUCAACAAUAUCUGUUUUUAUACACUUGCAUCAUUUCACUGAGAUACACUAUUAAGCUUGGUGUUACCUUGAUUUUGCACAUAUGAGUUCCUUUAUUACAUUUGUUUUGAAACGAAAAUCAGAUUUGGUAUAUAACUGGCAUUUAUCGAUGAUAAGUUAUUGCUUUUCAUACCUUGGUAAUUUGUUGUUGUUUUAUUUGUUGACCUGAAACAUUAUUUUCCUUCCAGAUAAUGGCUUCGCAGAAGGAGAUGCAGAGACAACUAUCAAAUGCUGUCACUGGCCCUAUCGUAAAAGAAGGUAAAAAACUAGAAGUGGCCUUAGGGAGAAUGAUUGAGAAAUCCAGCAAGUCAAAUGCUGAUGCUCUAUGGGCCCGCUUCCAAGAGGAGGCUGUUAAGAAUGAAAAGGCAUUACGUGACCAUGGCCAGCAAAUUGUGAAUGCAACGACAAACUUCAUGAGCAAGGAGUUAAAUGCCAUGUUUGAGAAAACGAUGAAAAAGGAAUUUGCUAUAGUUGCUCCAACCCUAGCACGUGCAGUAACUCCAGUUAUUGAAAAAACUGUAUCUUCUGCAAUCACAGAGUCCUUCCAGGUUAGUAAUUUACAAGAAAUUUAGGGCUGGCUGAUUUAUGGGAAGGUCCAUUGUUGAAAAAGAAAACUGAUAUCUCUUUUAUACAGAGAGGAAUUGGUGACAAAGCAGUCAAUCAGCUUGAAAAAUCUGUUAAUUCAAAGCUUGAAACAACCAUAGCCAGGCAAAUUCAAGCCCAAUUUCAGACAUCUGGCAGACAAGCCCUCCAGGUAAAAAUUCGAGUAUAACCUAGUUUUUUGAUGCUUCAUAAACUUAUAUUCAAAUCUUGUGUAUACAAUCAUAACUGCAUUAUUGUUUAUUGUAAAUGCAGUUGUUGUAAAUGUCAAUAGAUAUCUUAUCACAAGCGCGACANNNNNNNNNNNNNNNNNNNNNNNNNNNNNNNNNNNNNNNNNNNNNNNNNNNNNNNNNNNNNNNNNNNNNNNNNNNNNNNNNNNNNNNNNNNNNNNNNNNNCCGGUUGACGAGACGGGCGCAUAUACUCUAGUUAGAUUUUUUGGUUUCUCUUUUGUUCAAUUUCCUUUAAAUGUAACAUCUGGUUGUUUCUACGUCUAUAAUAUUCUCUUUUCUUCUCCGAGUAGACCUCAAUAGACCAAAGAAUGAGUUUGCUAGGCUUCGUAUUGGAUCUGGAAAAUCCUGAGAAAACAUGAAGAUCAUGUAUGGGCAGGUUAUAUAGAUUUUCUAGUAGAGAGAUGAGUUUGAAAGACAUUAUGAGAAUCUGGUUGGCAGUAAGCAGAAUAAGUAUUUGUUGUUGGGUUCGGUUGCAUAUACUUAUAUGUGAGCUGACCAUGAAUCAGAAUCCUUAUCCUCUUCUUCUCUUUUGUUGGAGGGGUUCCCAUUAAGAAGAAGAGCAAGAAGUUGGAAAAUCAGGGUGAAUCUCUGAGAUAAAGCCCAAUAAUUGAAAUGAAGGAGGCCCAAACAAGUAAAAUCUUAAUUUUUACAGAACGGUCUCAUAUUUUAAUAUAUACACGAUCAUCACCCCAUAACUUUUCGUGAUCUGGAUCAUGCCCCAAUUAAUUUUUCAUUAAAGAAGAAGGAAAAAAAGUUAAAGGGGGUGUUAUUAGUUUGUUAAUUUGUAAAUCCAUAUAGAAUUUGAAAAUUUCUAUUAAUUAUGAAAUCAAGAUAUAUGGAUUUUGAAAUAACAUGUGUUUACCCAUGGAUUGCAUAUACUUAUAUGUGAGCUGACCAUGAAUCAGAAUCCUUAUCCUCUUCUUCUCUUUUGUUGGAGGGGUUCCCAUUAAGAAGAAACGAAUAACAUAAGAUUUUAACUAGUAUUUAUAAAUCAUAGAACCAAUAACACAUGAAUUUAAUUAGGAUUUUAAAAUCUUAAUUUUUACAGAACGGUCUCAUAUUUUAAUAUAUACACGAUCAUCACCCCAUAACUUUUCGUGAUCCUAAGUCUCCAAAAGUUCUCUACCUGUUCUCACUUUCCAGUCAUCAUCGUCUCUCUAUUGUUGCUCUCUCUCUCUUUUUUUUUUUUUAUGUGACUUUCAGAUCCGCCGAGUCUUCUUUUUGUGGAAUCUUUUCAAGGAAGCUCAGUAUUCAAAAUACACCUCUCUUUUUUGAUCGAUUUCACAAACCCUAGCUUCGGCGAUCUUAAAUCUGCAAAACAUCUAUGGCGUCUUCUCCUGGUAAUACUAACCCUCAUAAUCCUCCUCCGUUUGAUCUCGGUAUUCUCUUCAAACCUCCAUCGAAUCCUUAUCCGCCGCCGCCGGCAUCUUAUCCUCCGCCUACAGGUCCUUUUCUUCACAAUCAGUACGAUCAGCAGCACUACGCGCCGCCUGGUAUCUCCGCUCAACCAUCGCCGGUGACUCAACAGCAACAGGAUGUGUCUUCCUCUUCCGCCGCGACUAACUUGCAUCCACAGAGAACGCUAUCUUAUCCCACGCCACCUCUCAACCUACAAUCCCCCCGUUCCAAUCACAAUCCCGGUACGCACAUCCUCGCUCUCCUCAAUAAUAACAACGGAGUCCCGGUGGCUAACCAAGAGCCGUCGCAUCAGCUUCCAGUAGUGAAUCACAACGAGAUCGCUCGCUCUUUUCCCGGCGGUUCAGGUCCUAUUCGUGUUCCGAGCUGUAAACUGCCCAAGGGAAGGCGAUUGAUUGGUGAACACGCGGUGUACGAUGUGGAUGUGAGAUUACAAGGUGAGAUUCAGCCGCAGCUGGAGGUGACUCCGAUUACCAAAUACGGCUCGGAUCCUCAGCUCGUAGUCGGUAGGCAAAUCGCCGUGAAUAAGGUCUACAUUUGCUAUGGAUUGAAAGGAGGAAACAUUAGGGUUCUCAAUAUCAACACAGCAUUGAGGUCUCUGUUCCGUGGCCAUUCACAGGUUCGUUUACUUUUUCUCUGCAAUUUGUGAAUUACUUAUUCAAGUGCCCAUCAGCAUAGUAAGUACUCAUCUAGUUCUAACUUCUAACUACGUGUUUAUAUACAGAGAGUGACGGACAUGGCUUUCUUUGCCGAGGAUGUUGAUAUGUUGGCCAGGUAAUGUUCUGGAACUGUCGUCUAAUUAGGCUAUGCUAUUUGUACAUAUAUGGAAGAGGGGCUCAUUGAAUUCUCCUUUGACGUUGUGGUUUAUACCUCGAUUUUUCUGUUUCUUUUAAACAGUGUUAGUCUAGAUGGAAAAGUUUUCGUGUGGAAAAUUUCUGAAGGGUCUGAGGGAGAGGAUCAGCCCCAAAUAACUGGGAAGAUAGUACUUGCUCUUCAGAUACUAGGAGAGGAAGACACCAAACAUCCACGCGUUUGUUGGCACUGCCACAAACAGGUAGUUGAACAUAUUUCUUUUGCUACGGGAAGUUGCAUAAGAUUCUUCUUAGAACAAGCUUCUGAUUGCGUAAAAUCUACUUUUUCAGGAAAUUUUGGUAGUUUCAAUUGGUAAACAUGUGUUGCGAAUUGAUACUACAAAAGUUGGCAGAGGUGAAGUAUUCUCUGCUGAGGCCCCUCUCCAGUGUCCCCUUGAUAAACUCAUUGAUGGUGUUCAGAUUGUUGGUAAGCAUGAUGGAGAAGUUACUGAUUUGUCAAUGUGCCAAUGGAUGACCACACGCCUGGUUUCUUCUUCAGUUGAUGGCACGGUUUGUGUUUGUUCUUAUCAUUCCUUUUCUUUAAACCUCACUGAAAUGAAUCAUUCCAAAGAACUCAAGUUUAAACUGAUUACGUUGCAAACUGGGUGUAAUCGUGACAUUUUCGUAAUUAGAACUAGCCAGCCUUGUUAGUUUGGUUCUGUAAGUGCAUUUGACAUUCAAUUACUAUUCUAGCUCAUUUUAAAUUUUUGAAGGUUUGCUAAGUUCCAUUCCAGACUUGCACUGGGUAUCAUACUAUCAUCUCUUUUCAACCAGGAACUAUUUUGCAACAGCUAGUAUUUUUGUAAGCGUGAGUCUUACUCCUUCUUUUCUUAUAACCACCGUACAGAUUAAGAUAUGGCAAGAUCGUAAGGCACAACCACUUGUAGUUUUGAGGCCUCAUGAUGGACAUCCAGUCAGUUCAGCCACGUUUGUGACAUCUCCUGAGAGACCUGAUCACAUCAUACUUAUCACGGGGGUGUGUUCUUGAAUCAAUACUACUGACUUUUCUCAGCUAUAUCUAAUGUUAUUUGGCUCUGCUGUGUUGAGUUUACAUUUUAUAAUUGUAGCUUUCCUCUCUGCUAAGUUGCUAACUCUGACAGUGUUGGCAAUGUUCU